RNAcentral lists this long non-coding RNA (588 nucleotides) under Capra hircus (goat). RNAcentral describes it as "lncRNA (ENSCHIG00010018223.1)". The record is from RNAcentral. Lineage: Eukaryota; Metazoa; Chordata; Mammalia; Artiodactyla; Bovidae.
AUGUCCAGUCAUACACUCCAGGCAGAAAGUCCCUGUACAGAACACAAGGCACGGGUCUCCUUCGUCGGGCAGGGGUGUCUCUCCAAGUCUCGGACGGUCCCCUCUUGGAGAAACCAACAGAGCAGCUGGAACAUUGUCAAAUUAAAUAAGCAAGCACAGGAGUUCCCAGGAGCCGGGGCUGAGGCGGGGGGAGUCGGGGCGGGGAGAGGGGGGAGUUUGUCUCUGGCUCCAGGCCUCCGUGGGGCCCAUGGCCUCCGAUCAAGCUGGACUGGGGCUGACACAGCUUUGUCACCAUUUAGGAGAUGUUCUUUCGAACUUGGCAACACAGAAAUUUACAUCAGGCCUUGUACAACCUUGGCAGAAUGUAGCCAAGGUCCAGAAGAAGUUCAGAAAAAACAACAGCACAAAAAAAACAAACAAACCAGAGGUGCUCUGGCCUCCGAAUCCCUCCCCAUGGGAAAGACGAAGCACAGAGCUUUUCGCCAAGUUUCCCAAUAUCGUUGGCAUUUAGAGAAAAGGCUGGUCAAACACACAACCAGCAUAGAGAGAAGCGAAGGCAGUGGAGUUCACAUGACUACUUUAUAUUAA